Molecule: ribosomal RNA, 449 nt
Filed under: uncultured bacterium
Lineage: Bacteria
Description: SSU rRNA
Rfam family: Bacterial small subunit ribosomal RNA
Source: RNAcentral
AGAGCGAACGCUGGCGGCAGGCCUAACACAUGCAAGUCGAGCGCCCGUAGCAAUACGGGAGCGGCAGACGGGAUAGUAACACGUGGGAACGCGCCCUUCGGUUCGGAAUAACUCAGGGAAACUUGAGCUAAUACCGGAUACGCCCUUACGGGGAAAGAUUUAUUGCCGAAGGAACGGCCCGCGUCCGAUUAGCUAGUUGGUGAGGUAAUGGCUCACCAAGGCGACGAUCGGUAGCUGGUCUGAGAGGAUGACCAGCAUCACUGGGACUGAGACACGGCCCAGACUCCUACGGGAGGCAGCAGUGGGGAAUAUUGGACAAUGGGCGCAAGCCUGAUCCAGCCAUGCCGCGUGGAUGAUGAAGGCCUUAGGGUUGUAAAGUCCGUUUUAACGGGGAAGAUAAUGACGGUACCCGUAGAAGUAAGCCCGGCUAACUUCGCGCCAGCAGCCGC